CCUACUUCCUUCCUACUCUUCUUCCCUCCCUCCUACUCUUUUUCUCUCCCUCCUACUCUUCUUCCCUCCCUCCUACUCUUCUUCCCUCCCUCCUACGCUUCUCCUUCCCUCCUUCAGGCUACUAAUACAACCUUCAGCAUCUGUGUCUCUCGUCAAAACCUAGAGGUGUGUAGUUUCUCUACUAAACAGAUGCUCUGACAGGAAUGUUCUUUCUGCUCAGUGUACUUUAAGUGAACCGUGAGUGUGCUGACAGCUAUGGAAUAAAUGGUGGAGGAUUUAUGCUGAGAUUUUGGACCACAGAUUUGUAAUGAACAGUCACUGUACUGUACUGUACCGUAGCUGUUUCAUACAGUAGCACUCAUGUGUGACCAAACGCUGUCAAAGACAAAAUGCCAAGUCAGUACUUUUUCUGUUUACAAAUAUUCCAAAAAACAUUAAGUUGUUCAUACUGAGCAGUUCAGCUACUCUUUUUCUCUCUCUCCUACUUCCUUCCUACUCUUCUUCCCUCCCUCCUACUCUUCUUCUCUCCCUCCUACUUCCUUCCUACUCUUCUUCCCUCCCUCCUACUCUUCUUCUCUCCCUCCUACUUCCUUCCUACUCUUCUUCCCUCCCUCCUAGUCUUUUUCUCUCUCUCCUACUUCCUUCCUACUCUUCUUUAUAUCAUAGUAUGUCAUGUAUUUCAAAACAGAUUUUCCAUCCAGUAAAUUGCUAUUAUUACUGCAUUUAAAAAAACAUAAACAAAUAUGUCAGUCGGAAGUUUUGAAACCAAAUAUAUUUGGUUACGACCCAAACUGCAUUUUAUUCCCUGUUUGGUGCACUACUGUUGACCAAGGCCCUAUUCAGAAGGGCACUAUAUCAGGAAUAGGGUGGAAUUUGUGACACAAACUAUAUUUCUGUCAUAGUAGUACCGGCAGCUCUGGUUAGCCUGAGUAUUAUGGGACAUCUUUAUUGGUCUGUCUAGGUACCAGGGUAGUAUGGUCUGUCUGUAUCGGUCUGUCUAGGUACCAGGGUAGUAUGGUCUGUCUGUAUCGGUCUGUCUAGGUACCAGGGUAGUAUGGUCUGUCUGUAUUGGUCUGUCUAGGUACCAGGGUAGUAUGGUCUGUCUGUAUUGGUCUGUCUACGUACCAGGGUAGUAUGGUCUGUCUGUAUCGGUCUGUCUAGGUACCAGGGUAGUAUGGUCUGUCUGUAUUGGUCUGUCUACGUACCAGGGUAGUAUGGUCUGUCUGUAUUGGUCUGUCUAGGUACCAGGGUAGUAUGGUCUGUCUGUAUUGGUCUGUCUAGGUACCAGGGUAGUAUGGUCUGUCUGUAUUGGUCUGUCUACGUACCAGGGUAGUAUGGUCUGUCUGUAUCGGUCUGUCUAGGUACCAGGGUAGUAUGGUCUGUCUGUAUUGGUCUGUCUACAUACCAGGGUAGUAUGGUCUGUCUGUAUUGGUCUGUCUAGGUACCAGGGUAGUAUGGUCUGUCUGUAUUGGUCUGUCUAGGUACCAGGGUAGUAUGGUCUGUCUGUAUUGGUCUGUCUAGGUACCAGGGUAGUAUGGUCUGUCUGUAUUGGUCUGUCUAGGUACCAGGGUAGUACGGUCUGUCUGUAUUGGUCUGUCUAGAUACCAGGGUAGUAUGGUCUGUCUGUAUUGGUCUGUCUAGGUACCAGGGUAGUAUGGUCUGUCUGUAUUGGUCUGGGUAAGGGUGGAGACCAGAACAAGUUCAGGGCAGAUGCUUGAAGGGAGGUUCCCCUCUCUUGUUCUAUGAAAGCGGAACCCUGGAAUACACACUGAUCAUCAUUAUGUUUCUCUGUUGUUUAUCAGUGAAAAUACACAAAUGCAAUUAGAGUGAUAUUCAGCUCAAAUUCCAGGCUUGAAAACCAAAGGGUUUAUUUGCAAAUAAAGGGAAUUGUAUACAAGUACAAUGAAGCUUGGUCUAGCUGGGUUAUAUUUGAGAUGGGGUAUGUUAUGCUGUGAGGGAAAUAUGUUUUUCAGAGACAUACUGUAUGUAUUGUAUGCAGUGAGUUGGUGAGGAAAGGGGCAGCCAGGCCGGGGUGAUUGUGACUUUGACCCCCAUUCCUUGUCAGAGUUCAAACGACAACCCCAUGCUGUCGAAUGGGUUGGAAACAUAGGGUACAUCCUAAAUGGCAGCCUAGUUCCUAUAUAAUGCACUACUUUAUGGCACCCUAUUCCCUAUAUAGCGCACUACUUUGGACCAGGGCCCAAGUAUAGAGUGCUAUUUGGUAUGGACCUAUACACAGCCCUGAUCUGAAGUAUACAAAACAAAUGAGGUGUUAUAUAGAUGGGUUCCACUGGGGUAAUGUUGUGUAAGGUUACAGGGGGUAAUGAUGUGUAUGGUUACAGUGGGUAAUGUUGUGUAAGGUUACAGGGGGUAAUGCCGUGUAAGGUUACAGGGGGUAAUGUUGUGUAUGGUUACAGGGGGUAAUGUUGUGUAUGGUUACAGGGGAUAAUGUUGUGUAUGGUUACAUGGGGUAAUGGUGUGUAUGGUUACAGGGGGUAAUGCUGUGUAAUGUCACAGGGGGCAAUGCUGUGUAAUGUCACAGGGGGCAAUGUUGUGUAUGAUUACAGGGGGUAAUGCUGUGUAAGGUUACAGCGGGUAAUGUUGUGUAUGAUUACAGGGGGUAAUGCCGUGUAAGGUUACAGGGGGUAAUGUUGUGUAUGGUUACAGGGGGUAAUUCUGUGUAAAGUUACAGGAGGUAAUGUUGUGUAUGGUUACAGCGGGUAAUGUUGUGUAUGGUUACAUGUGGAUAAUGUUGUGAAUGAUUACAGGGGGUAAUGUUGUGUAUGGUUACAGGGGAUAAUGUUGUGUAAGGUUAUCGAGGGUACUGUUGUGUAUGGUUAAAGGGGGUAAUGAUGUGUAUGGUUACAGGGCAUAAUGUUGUGUAUGGUUACAGGGGGUAAUGUUGUGUUUGAUUACAGGGGGUAAUGCCGUGUAAGGUUACAGGGGAUAAUGUUGUGUAAGGUUAUCGAGGGUACUGCUGUGUAUGGUUAAAGGGGGUAAUGAUGUGUAUGGUUACAGGGGGUAAUGUUGUGUAUGGUUACAGGGGGUAAUGCUGUGUAUGGUUAGCGGGGGUCAUGUUGUAUGGUUACAGGGGGUAAUGAUGUGUAUGGUUACAGGGGGUAAUGCUGUGUAUGGUUAGCGGGGGUCAUGUUGUAUGGUUACAGGGGGUAAUGAUCUGUAUGGUUACAGGGGGUAAUGUUGUAUGGUUACAGGGGGUAAUGUUGUAAAGGAAACAUAGUACUACCACGAGAUGGUGGGGAGGCCAUGCUGGUUAUUGCCUGAGUUACUUUGACCCCCGUCCCUUUAAAAGGUCAAACAACGACAUGAGAUUAUUAAUCUCCUAGUCCGGCUCAGUGGGAGUUUCAACUUUAGUGUAUAUCAGUUUCUGUUCUGUCCCUAGUUCUCUUUCUGUUGUAGAAAGAUGUACUGUAUGUACUUGUUGUUGCAGUCUUUUAUGGGAGAUGCCAUCACCCUUUCUUUUUUAGGAUGUUUUUAACGUUGUAAUUAUGAAACGAUAAAGAUAAAACAUGUUAUGUCAAAAUGCAGUGAAAAUUUUAACUAAAUGUAAUCGAAAAUGUAAUCUACGUAAUCCCCAAAAGUAAUUAUUUAUCAUGAGAGGGCCAUAAAUAUUAACUAGUGAUGCUGCAUAUUCGUAGAAAGGUUCAAAUCUCACCUUUUUGGUAAAAAUGGUUAUAAAUUGCUGAGUUGUAGUCACUUUUGAGGACACAAGCUCAAGUACACAGUACAAAUAUGAUACAUAUUUUAUAUUACGUCAUUCCUUUUCAACAAAACUAUAUGAAUAAGUCUUGACAUGACUUAUAUGCUUUGUAAAUAUAUUAUAAUCAAAUUAUGAAACAACUAAGUAUAAGAUUUCACCUUCCUUAUAACUGUAAAAUACAAUUAUUUUAGAUGAACGGUUAUAAAUCAAUCUCUGACGAAACCACUCUCUCCUGCUGUGCUACGAUGUCAGGGUUUCCGACAUAUGUUUUGUCAGUUGUUUGUGACGUAGGGUUCAGCCGGGAGUUGAUGGACAGUCGGAAGAGCGAAUUAAAAUGGUGGGAGGGACAUCCCAGCGUCAAGUGGUUUCAGAUUUCACAUCCACAUCCAGGCUCAGACAAUAUACUACUGUGUCCGUGGGAACAAGGACUGUCGUUCACAGCAAGCCAUUUCCAAUUCAAUUCAAUUCAAUUCAAGGGCUUUAUUGGCAUGGGAAACAUGUGUUAACAUUGCCAAAGCAAGUGAGGUAGAUAAUAUAGAAAGUGAAUAUAUAAAGUGAAAUAAACAAUAAAAAUUAACAGUAAACAUUACACAUACAGAAGUUUCAAAACAAUAAAGACAUUAUAAAUGUCAUUUUAUAUAUAUACAGUGUUUUAACAAUGUACAAAUGGUUAAAGGACACAAGAUAAAAUGAAUAAGCAUAAAUAUGGGUUGUAUUUAUCUUCACUGGUUGCCCUUUUCUUGUGGCAACAGGUCACAAAUCUUGCUGCUGUGAUGGCACACUGUGGAAUUUCACCCAGUAGAUAUGGGAGUUCCAUCUAAGUUGUCUACAGAUCGAUUUAUAAGCAAAAAUGUUGGUUGGAACCGGUCCCAGGACAAUGCAUUUCCCCCAAACAGGGGACUUUACAUCAGUAUAGGCCAUAUAUUUAUGUUACUGUUGUUUUAUUUAAUCCAGAUGAAAAUAAAGUUGUAUCUAAAAUA
This is a non-coding RNA of Oncorhynchus mykiss (rainbow trout), 4698 nucleotides long. The record is from RefSeq and is a predicted model, not a curated record. Lineage: Eukaryota; Metazoa; Chordata; Actinopteri; Salmoniformes; Salmonidae.